Molecule: ribosomal RNA, 484 nt
Filed under: uncultured bacterium
Lineage: Bacteria
Description: partial 16S ribosomal RNA
Rfam family: Bacterial small subunit ribosomal RNA
Source: RNAcentral
AUUGAACGCUGGCGGAAUGCUUUACACAUGCAAGUCGAACGGCAGCACGGGGGCAGCCCUGGUGGCGAGUGGCGAACGGGUGAGUAAUACAUCGGAACGUGCCCGGUCGUGGGGGAUAACGUAGCGAAAGUUACGCUAAUACCGCAUACGAUCUGAGGAUGAAAGCGGGGGACCUUCGGGCCUCGCGCGAUCGGAGCGGCCGAUGUCAGAUUAGGUAGUUGGUGGGGUAAAGGCCUACCAAGCCGACGAUCUGUAGCUGGUCUGAGAGGACGACCAGCCACACUGGAACUGAGACACGGCCCAGACUCCUACGGGAGGCAGCAGUGGGGAAUUUUGGACAAUGGGCGCAAGCCUGAUCCAGCCAUUCCGCGUGCAGGACGAAGGCCUUCGGGUUGUAAAAUGCUUUUGUACGGAACGAAAAGGCUCUGGCUAAUACCUGGGGCUCAUGACGGUACCGUAAGAAUAAGCACCGGCUAACUACGUG